RNAcentral lists this long non-coding RNA (1875 nucleotides) under Calidris pugnax (ruff). RNAcentral describes it as "lncRNA (ENSCPUG00000015677.1)". Lineage: Eukaryota; Metazoa; Chordata; Aves; Charadriiformes; Scolopacidae. The record is from RNAcentral.
CAGGAAGACAUUUUAAGGAGCUGCUUCAGUGGUGAUGACCAGACUAAUUGAGUGCUCUGUUAAUUACUUUUCAAUGUUGAUCUGUCAGGUAUAUGUCAUUUGCUUUCCUGGUUUAUUGUUCCUGGAAUGCAAUUCACUGUAUUCAAGACAUAGUAAAAGAGGAGUUUUAUAAUUUACAGAGAUGCAUAUUUUUGUAAGCUUUUUGUUAGCUUGUUUGUAAGUCAUGUCAUUGCUGUGACUCACUGAAUAUGUUGAUUUGCAUGCAAUAAAUUGCAGACAAAUUGCUAAACCAGUUGCUACCUCGAAGUAUGUGUCCUGCCACCUAUCAGAAGAGCGCUGGUUUUGCAGCAAGAGUGGGUAACUCCCACGUGGAACAGCUCACGUACUGCCAUAAUUUACAGUCAAAUGACAUCUGACUGGCGUAGUGCAAAACAGACCCUCCUCUUCCAUCCGCCCUGAGCCACUUUCUGUGCCCUUGUACCUCCUUCAGUGUUUUGAGGAAUAAGGAUCUGCAUCUUCUUUUCCCUCCGGGCAUGGACUUAGAGCAUGACAUGGCCCAGCCACCAGCUACAAAGGGGCAGGAACAGCAAAAGGGGCUGAGCACAUGAGAACGUCUGUUUGUCUGAGAGGACCGGAUGCCCUUGUGUCACUGAUUGCCCAGCAGAGAAAAGUCUCACCAUAUUACGUGGACAGGAAGGACUGGGAGAACGCUGGCAUCCAGGAUUCUACUAAGGCCGUGAUGCAAGAAGGAUCUUCAGAAGAGCUCCACAGCAGCCAACUGUGUGAGAGCAAAGUAAAUGAACAUGCUGGGCCACUGGUUAACGGAGGCAGAAGGACGGUGGUGACAGGAGGUGGAGGCUACCUGGGAUACCAUCUGGGAUGUGCUCUUGUCAGGGUGAUGUGAGGGAUUAUGAUGCAGUGUUCAAAGCGUGUGAAGGAGUUGACUGUGUUUUUCAUGCAGCUGCAUGUGGAAUGUCAGGAUUAGAACAAAUUCAAAAGAAAGACCAGAUAGAAUCCAUCAAUGUCGGAGGCACAAAAAUAAUAAUUGAUGUCUGCAAACAAAGAAAUAUCCCUAGACUGAUAUAUACCAGUACAGUGAAUGUGGUAUUUGGAGGAAAUCCUAUUGAAGAGGGAGAUGAAGAAACGGUGCCAUAUUUUCCACUGGAAAAGCAAUUUAAUCAUUAUUCUAGAACAAAGGCAAUUGCAGACCAAAUGGUUCUUGCUGCUAAUGGAACUUUACUCAAAGGAGGUGAGAAGCUCCAUACCUGUGUGCUUCGCCCACCAGGCAUCUAUGGACCAGAAGAGCCGCGCCACCUGCCACGAGUCGCCGUAAAUAUCCAGCGGAGACUAUUUAACUUCAAAUUUGGGAAUCACAAAGUUCAGAUGAACUGGGUUCACAUAGGAAAUCUAGUACAAGCUCACUUACUAGCUGCUGAGGCUCUCACUUCUGAGAAGCGUUAUGUAGCUAGUGGUCAAGCGUAUUACAUCCAUGAUGGUGAAAACGUGGUAUUUUCUGAAUGGAUCGUCCCUUUGUUUGAAAAAUUAGGCUACAGGAAACCCUGGAUACAUAUUCCUGUUCUUCUGGUUCAUAUAGCAGCCACUGUGAUGGAAUAUCUGCACCUGAUACUAAAGCCAGUUUUCAGCUUUACACCUUUCUUGACAAGGAAUGAGGUGUGGAAUGUUACUGUAACUCACACUUUCCGAAUAGACAAAGCACGAAAUCAACUUGGUUACAAACCAAAGAAAUUCUCAUUCGCUGAUUCUGUGGAUCACUAUCUGAAAACAAGACCUACUUGCCAAAAGGAUCACACAUUCCUUAAAAUGGUGGUUGCUUUCAGCAUUUUGCUAAGUUUGAUCAUUCUUUCCUUCUUCUAA